Protopterus annectens (West African lungfish) is the source of this 1098-nucleotide long non-coding RNA. RefSeq lists it as uncharacterized. NCBI's taxonomy places the organism in Eukaryota, Metazoa, Chordata, Ceratodontiformes, Protopteridae. The transcript is spliced from 5 exons. The record is from RefSeq and is a predicted model, not a curated record.
CAAAAAGAAGAAGCUUAGAUAACUGCUUAUUUCAUCUUAGAUUCGUGGAAUGCUCUUUCCAUUAAGUAAAUAGGCAAACGUCAACAUUUUUCUUUCAGCAGGGCAUAUAUCUCUAAUAGAUCAUUAACCAGGACGACACAUGCUGACUUAGACAGAGUGCAUGUCCGUCUGUGUUUUUUAAUUGUAGUGACCAGGUUUAUAAUAUGUAGUUGCUUUCUUUUGUGACACUCUUUCAACCACAAAGUCUGCAUGCAGGAAAAGAAGGAGAUGCAAAUUAUAUACUGUACCGGUCCGGCAAUGAUCCUUGCAGGCUGAAAUUUAUAAUCAUCUUUGCAAGGCAUUGCAGAUUGGUAGCUGAAAUCCCAUUAACAUUUUAAGCAGCAGAACACUUUUUUAUCUAAGUGGUACCUAGCCAAACUCCUUAGCAGUUUUAUCUAAGGGAUUAUAAUAACUCAAUAGCUUUUACAGAAAGGAAGCUUUUUUCCACUCGGUAGAGAAGCUGGCAUCCUGCUAAUUGAACUAUUUGAAUGAACCAUCCCGCAACAAUCUACAGACUGAAGAUCUGUUCUCCUUCAUCAAGGAUACAUUUUUGAGAGCCUUCAGGAUCUUUUUCUUCUUCAUGAAGGAUUUUAAGUAUGAAUCUCUGAAGUAUGUCUGCAGGCAUAGUACCUUCACUAUGAGGAAUAAUUCAGUAGAGCCUGUUAGACUGGUUUUCUGAUGAACACCAAAGGAACAAGUUUCUCAGGGUUGCCAUGGAUUACUACCACUGCUGUACUGAAACUGAGUUAGAUACUGGUGAAUCUAUAGAGUACUUGAAACAUAAGAGGGCAUGGUAUGAUGUUUGGUGGGACAUUCAUGCUGCACUGGGCCAAGAGAAGCUCCAGAGUUCAUUGACAAAAGAAACAGCUGGAACAAGAUAGAAGGAAGCAGAGACUGAGCAUAGUUUACUUGGCAUCUGCAGAUGAGUAAUGGCCUGUACUGCAUUAGUACUUUCCUGUUCAGUUGUUUUCACUCUGACACUGCUGAAUCAGUCUGGGUCACAGUGGGUGUAGGGGGGCUUGCCCCCUGCUAAAAACAAAUAAAAUUGAUUUUUUCGUU